Erinaceus europaeus (western European hedgehog) is the source of this 941-nucleotide long non-coding RNA. RefSeq lists it as uncharacterized. The record is from RefSeq and is a predicted model, not a curated record. The transcript is spliced from 3 exons. Lineage: Eukaryota; Metazoa; Chordata; Mammalia; Eulipotyphla; Erinaceidae.
CCGCCUUCAGCCGACAUGCCCCAGCCAAGCCCAGAGGCCCGGCCCACAGCUGCGCUUCAGCACGGUGCUGCCACCACGCCUACCAUCGGUGUGGCGGGGGCAUAAUCCCCUAGGCGCAGACAUCCGCGCAGCUGCUGCUGUGGUUCCCAGAGUCAAAAUCCUUCAAUAAAAAUGAUUUUUCAGUUUCUGCAGUCAGCUACCCAUGCCACAGGACCAACCAAAGCCUCUGUAGAUACCAGCUCAGACACCAGCCUGCCUAUAGACAAGAUGGCCAGACUCUUCAUAAGUCAAAAGCCCAAGCUCUCCAAAGUGACCCUCCAGAAUCGCCAUGCACUGGACCUGUUGACAGCCUAAAAAGCCACCAGGUUCCAGAUGUUACCAUGAUGACAACCUGACUUCCCUGGGCAGACAACCCCACCAUGUGUUCUUGGAGCCCUACCUCCCCAGAGCAGUGCCCCACUAGGGAAAGGAGAGACAGGCUGGGAGUAUGGAUCUAUCUACCAACACCCAUGUUCAGCAGAGAAGCAGUUACAGAAGACAGACCUUCUACCUUCUGUACCCCAUAAUGAUCCUUGCUCCAUACUCCCAGAAGGAUAAUGAAUAGGAAAGCUUUCAAGGAAAGGGAUGGGAUACAGAGGUCUGGUGGUGGGAAUUGUGUGGAAUUGUACCCCUCUUAUCCUAUAGUCUUGUCAGUAUUUCCAUUUUAUAAAUAAAAAAGUAAAAAAAUAAAAUAAAAUUUUAGGCCAGGUGGUGGAACACCUGGUUAAUUGCUCAUAUUACAGUGCUCAAGAACCCAGGUUCAAGUUCUCUUCUCUGCCUGCAGGGGGAAAGUUUUGCGAGUGGUGAAGCAGGGCUGCAAGUAUCUCUUUGUGUCUCUCUCCCUCUCUACUCCUUCCCUCUCAGUCAAAUUAAAAAUUUGACCCAAAGAAGCAGUGGAACCA